UGGGGGAUAUUGCACAAUGGGCGAAAGCCUGAUGCAGCGACGCCGCGUGGGGGAUGAAGGCCUUCGGGUUGUAAACUUCUUUUGCUCUGAACAAGGCGCACCAUGGGGUGUGUUGAGUGUAGGGGUUGAUUAGCGCCGGCUAACUACGUGCCAGCAGCCGCGGUAAUACGUAGGGCGCGAGCGUUGUCCGGAAUUAUUGGGCGUAAAGGGCUGGUAGGUGGCUGGUUGCGUCUGUCGUGAAAGCUCAUGGCUUAACUGUGGGUUUGCGGUGGGUACGAGCUGGCUUGAGUGCAGUAGGGGAGGGUGGAAUUCCUGGUGUAGCGGUGGAAUGCGCAGAUAUCAGGAGGGAUACCGGUGGCGAAGGCGGGUCUCUGGGCUGUUACUGACACUGAGGAGCGAAAGCAUGGGGAGCGAACAGG
This 419-nucleotide ribosomal RNA is filed under the name bacterium. RNAcentral's name for it is "partial 16S ribosomal RNA". It matches the Rfam family "Bacterial small subunit ribosomal RNA", at positions 355 to 776 of the family's 1533-position model. The record is from RNAcentral.